RNAcentral lists this ribosomal RNA (253 nucleotides) under uncultured bacterium. RNAcentral's name for it is "partial 16S ribosomal RNA". It matches the Rfam family "Bacterial small subunit ribosomal RNA", at positions 524 to 776 of the family's 1533-position model. The record is from RNAcentral.
UACGUAGGGGGCAAGCGUUGUCCGGAAUCAUUGGGCGUAAAGCGCGUGUAGGCGGCUCGAUAAGUCCGUUCUGAAAGUCCAGGGCUCAACCCUGGGAUGCGGAUGGAUACUGUCGAGCUCGAGUCCGGAAGAGGCGAGUGGAAUUCCUGGUGUAGCGGUGAAAUGCGCAGAUAUCAGGAGGAACACCAAUUGCGAAGGCAGCUCGCUGGGACGUUACUGACGCUGAGACGCGAAAGCGUGGGGAGCAAACAGG